Molecule: ribosomal RNA, 445 nt
Filed under: uncultured organism
Description: partial 16S ribosomal RNA
Rfam family: Bacterial small subunit ribosomal RNA
Source: RNAcentral
ACUCCUACGGGAGGCAGCAGUGGGGAAUAUUGGACAAUGGGCGCAAGCCUGAUCCAGCCAUGCCGCGUGAGUGAUGAAGGCCCUAGGGUUGUAAAGCUCUUUCACCGGUGAAGAUAAUGACGGUAACCGGAGAAGAAGCCCCGGCUAACUUCGUGCCAGCAGCCGCGGUAAUACGAAGGGGGCUAGCGUUGUUCGGAUUUACUGGGCGUAAAGCGCACGUAGGCGGACUAUUAAGUCAGGGGUGAAAUCCCGGGGCUCAACCCCGGAACUGCCUUCGAUACUGGUAGUCUUGAGUUCGAGAGAGGUGAGUGGAAUUCCGAGUGUAGAGGUGAAAUUCGUAGAUAUUCGGAGGAACACCAGUGGCGAAGGCGGCUCACUGGCUCGAUACUGACGCUGAGGUGCGAAAGCGUGGGGAGCAAACAGGAUUAGAAACCCGGGUAGUCCC